Molecule: ribosomal RNA, 301 nt
Filed under: uncultured bacterium
Lineage: Bacteria
Description: partial 16S ribosomal RNA
Rfam family: Bacterial small subunit ribosomal RNA
Source: RNAcentral
CAGCCGCCACGGUAAAACGUAGGUCCCGAGCGUUGUCCGGAUUUAUUGGGCGUAAAGCGAGCGCAGGCGGUUUGAUAAGUCUGAAGUUAAAGGCUGUGGCUCAACCAUAGUCCGCUUUGGAAACUGUCAAACUUGAGUGCAGAAGGGGAGAGUGGAAUUCCAUGUGUAGCGGUGAAAUGCGUAGAUAUAUGGAGGAACACCGGUGGCGAAAGCGGCUCUCUAGUCUGUAACUGACGCUGAGGCUCGAAAGCGUGGGGAGCGAACAGGAUUAGAUACCCGAGUAGUCCCUGUCUCUUAUACA